UUAUCGUUCACGUCGCUGCAAACCCAUGACGAAGGCAUGAUGAAGCGGUCUCAUUUGCCAACAAAGAUAAGUGCAAAAGACCGUGCAAAGCAGUUCCCGGAUUGUUACACGACAGUUUGGGGCAAAUUAUUUUGCACUCCGUGCAACUGCGUGUUGGACCACAGGCGGAAGUCGACGCUGGAUAACCACUUUGCCGCCGCCAAACAUGCAAGGAUGGUUAAAGCAGCGGAAGCAGCCAAGAAGCAGCUCACCUACACCGAGGCGUCAACUUCCAAAACAGAUUUGUGAAACCUGGGUUGCCACCUGCACUGCCAUUAACAUCCCACUGUCUAAGACUGACCACCCUGCACUGAGGAGAUUUCUGAAUGAGAAUGUCCUCAAUGGCGGCGCCAUUCCAGGGUUUCACCAGCUUCAAGAGAAGUACUUGGGAGCAGUAUAUGAGAGUGAAAAAGAGGAGCUGAAGACACAUCUUGCAGGAAAACCUCUUGCUGUGAUAUUCGAUGAGACUCCGGACUUCCUUCACAUAAUUCCUCAGUACAAUUAACAUUUCUUUUUCUUUAUCAGUUAACCCCCUUUGCACAUACCAACAUGAAUAGUUUGAGCAGACGUCCUGUGACCACAAAGAUCUUCAAUUAUCUGGAGGAUUUGCAGGUGGUCUUUGCUGCCAACAAAGAGCUGCAGUAUGAGGCGUAUGCCGAAUACUUUCAAGGGUUUGUCUUACCACACACCACGAAGACACAGAUCCUCAGCACAGUUGGUCAGGCAUAUGACAACGAUGAAGAAAAGCUCACCAAGUACAUGUCACAUGGGCAACCGGCCAUUGAGUUUGUCCAGGAGGUCACGGUGUUUGACCCUCGCCACAUCGCAUUCCUAGAUGACUUCGUAGCAAGCUACAAGGCCAUUCCAGGUUUCACUGAAGUGCAGAGUGAUGAAUUUGGUUCUUACUUCAAAACUCUUGGUCCAGCAGCACUCAGAGCUGCACCAUCCGGCGUGGUGGAUUUGGAUGUGUUAUGGGAUGGCGUACAGGAGAGACUUCCUGGGCUGACUUCCUUAGCAAAACGGUACAAACAUGCUGUCUCAAACUCAGCUGAUGCUGAACGCAGUAAAAGCAUCUACAAACUGGUGUUGUCUAACCGAAGAUCAACUACCAACCAAAACCUCAAAGCCUUGGUCUUCCUGUACCACAACCAACGAGUCCGCAGUGGAGCAUUUGAGAGGGAGGAGAUGGUGCAGGGGGAGGAGAUGGACGUUGAGGGAGAGGGGAUGGAGGAUGAGGAUGAGGAAUGAUUGGCUAGCGUUAGAUGCAGCUUUACAGUUGUAAGAUUGCACUUUUUUGUCCCUUUUUCAAAAGCUACCUCUGUAAAACAGGGACAUUUAUUUAUUUAUUCAUUUUUACAGAAGUUGUAGCAGAUUCUUUUUGUAAAGCUACAGAAGUUGUACUCACUGUUUAAAG
This 1453-nucleotide long non-coding RNA is filed under the name Gadus morhua (Atlantic cod). Its description in RNAcentral is "lncRNA (ENSGMOG00000027784.1)". The record is from RNAcentral. Lineage: Eukaryota; Metazoa; Chordata; Actinopteri; Gadiformes; Gadidae.